GGUGGCUCAGUGGUAGAGUGUUUGCCUUGCAUGCAUGAAGCCCUGGGUUCGAUUCCUUAGCACCA
RNAcentral lists this transfer RNA (65 nucleotides) under Dipodomys ordii (Ord's kangaroo rat). It matches the Rfam family "tRNA". Rfam says of the family: Transfer RNA (tRNA) molecules are approximately 80 nucleotides in length. Their secondary structure includes four short double-helical elements and three loops (D, anti-codon, and T loops). Lineage: Eukaryota; Metazoa; Chordata; Mammalia; Rodentia; Heteromyidae. The record is from Rfam by way of RNAcentral.